GAGAUUGCCAUUCGUGGGUUACCAAGUAACUGGCUGUGACAAUUACCAAACAGCUGUCCCAGGAAUCUACAUAGCCUUUAACCUCUGUCAGCUGAGAGAUGGGCUGAUGACAGCUAACAAACAAUAGGAACACACCCUAAUAUUUUAUUUAAGAGCUGAGGGAAGCCACAGCUGUAUGGAUCAUUUGGCCAGCUGCAUUUAACUGCUUCAGAUCAUGCUGUGCUGAGAAGCUUGCGUAGGGCUUUUUUUUUCUAACUUUGUGUUUGGCAAUUGGUUCUGUGCUACCAAGAUGGGUUUGGCUAAUGCACAGGAAUGCUAAGCUGCUCGUUAUGAGCACAGGCAGAGUACUUACAUAUGAGCUUAUUAUGGGAAGAAGCUGAAAUUAGACAGCCUUCUGCUACCUGUGGCAGAAAACAGGUUCGAUCUGAGCAGGACCUCUCCAGGCCCCUUCACCCUCGCUUGGGAGAGUUUGUAAGAGAUUUGGAGGGACAUAACAUUUAUUUCCUACUUCCCUGAGCUUCAGUCCAGGCCUUGGAAAAACCCAUCUGACAGUGAGUUUGUUUGUAUAUUUCAAUUUUUUUCCUAAGUACGCUAGGCUCAUUAGCAAGCCUCAGAAAAUGCACGCUUUGUUGAAGUUAAUAUGGGAAAUAAGAUACUGA
This 659-nucleotide long non-coding RNA is filed under the name Coturnix japonica (Japanese quail). Its description in RNAcentral is "lncRNA (ENSCJPG00005016566.1)". Lineage: Eukaryota; Metazoa; Chordata; Aves; Galliformes; Phasianidae. The record is from RNAcentral.